RNAcentral lists this long non-coding RNA (1383 nucleotides) under Equus caballus (horse). RNAcentral's name for it is "lncRNA (ENSECAG00000028128.3)". The record is from RNAcentral. Lineage: Eukaryota; Metazoa; Chordata; Mammalia; Perissodactyla; Equidae.
CUCCAAUCAUACAUUUCUAGUGGGCUUAGAAACAGAGCAUUAUUAUGCUCCUGGGCCACAGAGUUGGGUGUGCGACCUAAUUCCCUUGGCAAAUAUUCCCGUGGCACGUGACUAAAGACUAGCCAAUCAGAGUUCUUUCCUGAGAAAUGCGUAAGUUUUACAAGUGGGGAGAGUUCUCAUUCAUUUUUGGUCACAGAGCUGCGAGAACGUGUUCAAGAGCUACAGUCAGCCGUAUCCUCUACCAUGUAGAAUGUCCGAGAGAAUGAAAAAGACAAAAGCUGAAGGGAAGAAGAGGAAGAGAACCAUAUCAGCAGACAGAGGUGGAAAAAAGAAGCCACGGAAAGAGGUUGGUGGUGGGAUGCUCAUGUGUGCUGUCAGGCUCUUGACGCUGCAAGGACCAGCGCCUCACUCAGGUCGCCUUCGGGAAAAGUGCAAGGACACAUGUGGGUUGCUGUGAAGAGCCAAUAAGACAAUGCCCGUGAAACUCUUAGCCUACCUCCCGGCACAGAUAAGUGCUCUUUGAAUGCUAGUUGCCAUGGCUGUGUCAUCAUCAUCAUCAUCAUUGUUUUCAUUAUGAUACUUUCAAGUUUUCAGGCUGGUAGCUUUCCUAGGAAGGUCAGUGGUGCCCACUGGACCCUCUCUUGGCUUAUUGGCUGAGUUCAUUGAUGAAGAAGCCUUGAGUUCAUCAUUUUUUCUUCUCUAAUGACUGAGAUGGCAGUCAAUGAAGAAUGACUGCAGAAAGUUUCAGAAGGACACAUGGGAAUCAUUUCACCAGCCCAAUAAAAUCAGCUAUUUAUGUGGAGCCUGACUCCCCUGCCCUUGAGUGUGGGCUGAACGGAGUGGCUCCCUUCUAAUGAGAGAAUUCGGCGGAAGUGAUGGUUUGUGACUUCCAAGACCAGGUCAUAAAAGACAUUGCACUUCCUCCUUGUCCUCCCUGGUGAACUGUGGAUUGCUCGCUCUGGGGGAAGCUGGCUGCUAUGUCAUAAGAUCACUCAAACAGCCCUAUGGAGAGGACCUCAUGGCAAGGAACUGUGGAGUCCUGCCAUCCAUCAACAAAGCACUGGGGCCCUCCGGCAAGUAACCACUGAGUGAGCCAAAUCGGGAGUGAAUCUUCCGGCCCCAGUCAAUCCUCAAAAUGAUUACAGCCCCAGUUGACAUCUUGACGCCUCCUCACGAGAAACCCUGAGCCGGAGCCAUCCUCCUAAACUGCUUCCACAUUCCUGACCCUCAGAAACUGGCCCCCCACGUUGACUUGGAGCUGGGAAUCUGCCAGGGCUGCAAUAGAAAAGUGUUCUGACGUCCCAAGGUGGAAUUCUGAAUGGAUUUACCGUAGAAACAUAGCUCCAUGCAUAGUUGUAUAUGUACAUAUACAUAUGUAAAUAC